RNAcentral lists this ribosomal RNA (604 nucleotides) under Fereydounia khargensis. Its description in RNAcentral is "partial 26S ribosomal RNA". The record is from RNAcentral. Lineage: Eukaryota; Fungi; Basidiomycota; Ustilaginomycetes; Urocystidales; Fereydouniaceae.
GGUGGCAGAGAGCCAUUAAGCCAGCAUCCUAAGCGCAAAGGUGCCCGAGGGCCCGCCCAGAGGGUGCGCUGCGUGCCUCGGUCCAUGCCGCUGUACUCAGCAAGGGGCUAUAACACUUUGACCGAAGACAAAGCCACAUUCCCCAAGCCUAUAUCCAGCGGCACAAACCGAUGCUGGCCUGCCAAUACGAAAAUACACCAAGUCCAAAGACAAGGCUGAAUCCGCACAGCAUAUCUGACUCCCUACCCUUCCCUUCCGGCAAUUUCACGUACUGUUUAACUCUCUUUCCAAAGUUCUUUUCAUCUUUCCCUCACGGUACUUGUUCGCUAUCGGUCUCUCCUCGAUAUUUAGCCUUAGAUGGCAUUUACCACCCAUUUUGAGCUGCAUUCCCAAACAACUCGACUCUUGGAGAGCGUAUCACAAAGCCCCGGGGACUCCAAGCCAAGUACGGGACUCUCACCCUCUAUGAUGCCCUAUUCCAAGGGACUUGAGCUUGGUCCGGCGCGGAAAACGCUUCUCGAGUUUACAAUGCGGACGCCGAAGACGCCAGCUUUCAAACUUGGGCUCUUCCCUCUUCACUCGCCGUUACUAGGGGAAUCCUUGU